This is a long non-coding RNA of Alosa alosa (allis shad), 1383 nucleotides long. RefSeq lists it as uncharacterized. Lineage: Eukaryota; Metazoa; Chordata; Actinopteri; Clupeiformes; Clupeidae. The record is from RefSeq and is a predicted model, not a curated record. The transcript has 2 exons.
CUCUCUCUCUCUACUGCUUGACAACAUAAAUCAAUGCUUGACAAUGCACCGAAAGCACACUGAAGGGAACGACAGAUGGGGCCCUAAGGAUGGGUGUAAAAUGUUGGGUGAAGAGGCUACGCAGCACCCCUCUGAUUAUGCAGCAACCAGCACUCGUGUGCUAGGGGUAUGCGAUAUUGAAAAAUAAAUAUCUUGAUAUUUUGAUGUACAACUCAUAUAAGUAGCUUUUUUCAUUAGAGAUAGUGCUUAUCACAUUUGAGAUGUCAGGCAAAUUUGGUGACAUGAAUGCUAUUUUGAAACAAUAAAACACGUUAAGCCUUUUCCUUAUUCUGGGCGUCAAUGAGAGAACAUUUAACAUACUAAACUUGAGUUAUUAUUGUAGACAAUAUAUACUGCACAAUAUAUAUCGCACACCCCUACCAUGAGCCCCCCCCCCCCCCCCAUGUCAGCUAAUGCACCUCCCCAGUUCUCCUCUAUGCAGAUGUGUGUUACUGUCGAUGGUCAAGACAGCAGAGUUGAGACAUUUUAGUUUCGUUUGAAGAGAAGAGUAAAAGUCCUGGUUGAUACAGGCUGUAUUAACUGGUGUUGUGCUGAUCUGUUUUGGGGUUAAAAUCAUCAGUUACUGGAUAAGCGGUUGGGUUGGUGGGGGAUCUAAACCAAAACAAAGUGUAUUAAACGGCACGUUCAGGUGUGCGUAGUGAAAGGUCGUCAUGGCACUAUGCAUCACUCUGAGAGGGUGUUCCGUAGCCUCGGCGCCAGGGCCCCCCUGAUGGCAGUGCACCAACUCACUCACCGCCAUCACAGACAGGCAGGCCGAUCGCCGGGCCACUGAGCUCAGGCUGGCACUCCACUGGCCCGCCUAGCCAGCACGCCUCAGCCCAACCCAGCUCUGCGCUGAGGCUCCCCGCACCAGUCGGCUCUGACCCAGUCCCAGAGCAGGUGUCCAGCUCUUUUUAUUUUUGUACUUUGAAGCAAUCCUUGACUAAACCAACAAAGAAACAAAAAAAAGAAGAAAAUGAGAAGAAAACUAAGAUAUCAACACGGGACUGGUGGGCAUUUCAAUCAAGCCCACCUUGCCACUGGCUUUAAUGAACCAACAGACUCAGUAAUUACGACUCAGGUGGUGCGAAGCCCGGGCACCUGGCCACCGGCAGGAAGGAGCUGUGCCGAGGCCCGUGAUCUGAUCGAGGGUGGGGAGGGGGAUGGGGUCGCUGUCGUAGAAGCACAAAGAUGUGCCUCGUUAGGGAUAAAACAAAGACAAAUAUCAUUUAAAAAAAAGAAAAACAAGAAUAUAUUGGUUUGGUGGUGAUGACUGUAGCCUGUUUCAAAGUGUUCUUUUUUUGAGUGUGAGUAAUAAAACACUGAAGUUGAUUUAUGAGAAAA